This 1059-nucleotide long non-coding RNA is filed under the name Salmo salar (Atlantic salmon). RNAcentral's name for it is "lncRNA (ENSSSAG00000101397.1)". The record is from RNAcentral. Lineage: Eukaryota; Metazoa; Chordata; Actinopteri; Salmoniformes; Salmonidae.
UGAAACUCUUCAAAUAUUAUUUGAACCCAGGUAUGAUAAGUUCUAGUAUUAAAUAUCAUAAAACUCUAACCUUACUGUGUGCUGAUAAUCCAUCAGUGUGGCACCCCAAAUCUAUUUGGCACUCCUGGGAGCCACACCCCCUGGGCCACCUGUGUGUCCCCCUCAGACAUGCUCCACUCCGUCCUGUACCUCGUGUGAGUCGCAUCCCCGCUCUCCCCUCCUAUGUCCACCAGCUCCAUACGCAGCAUCAUGUCUCUCCCCCAUUGGGCCAGAAACAACUGGGAUGCUUCACCACUAAGAUAGCUGGAGAGACCAGUCAGAUAGCUGGACCCCAAGCACGGGGCACGUGGAGGGGCCUGCACCACCUCCUCAUCCUCCUCCCGCCUCUCCUCAGCCUGUGGGGAUAAAGGGACAUCCACCAAUCCUAUUGGUUUAUCUGUCUGUCCGUCAUUAGAGGAGUCUGUGUUCCAAGGGCUCCCAUUGGUUGAGUCUGAGCUGUCCGGGCACUGUGUGACCUCUGAUAGGGAGAUGUCCCUGUGUGGCUUGUGUCUGCUGAGGGUGAGACAGCGCAGCGAGGUGAGACAACCAGUAAGCGACAACCACACAUCCUGUAUUUUCAGCACAGACAAUUGGCUGUCACAUGUUCUCUUGUCUUCUUUGUCCUUCUCUUUAGACAGUUUACAUUCCAUCUCUAGAUCUGACUUAACCAUCUCUUUGGCUGUCACAAGUCUAUUUGUGUCCUUUGCCGACAGUCCAUCUUUCAUAUUCCGUGUCUGGGAUGGGUUUUCUGCUUUUCCCCGGAAGCAGACACAGCUGAACCUCCGGCCUUUCUUCAUCAUAGUCACCACAAGAAGAAAGAGCUCCCUGAUGAAGCUGCCUGCUACGGUACAGAGCUGCGAUGAAACAAAUGUGGAAUGAAUCUUACCACAGAUACACAACACCCUAUGAGCAUUGCCUGCCCUGGUCCUUUAUGACAUAAUCACUGCAUCAGUGACAGUGACACAUCUCAAAUGGUGAGUGCCUUGAAGGACUGUGAUGUCACAUUGGAUGAUGUCAUCA